Molecule: unclassified non-coding RNA, 228 nt
Filed under: Hevea brasiliensis (rubber tree)
Lineage: Eukaryota; Viridiplantae; Streptophyta; Magnoliopsida; Malpighiales; Euphorbiaceae
Source: RNAcentral
AAAAUUAAGGGACACCAAAUUUCUGCACAAUUAAUAAACCAGCGGCCAGCUCACCUGGUAUCUAGCCUGUACAUUUUUCACUGUCAUAGACACAAGAACCACAAACUGGUCCAUCAAACUAAAACAAAAUCACAAAACCAUGGCCUAUACACACAACUGUGGCCGCAGCUAAUUAGCCUCUGAAGAAAUUAUCUCCAGCUCCGCCCACCACAAUGGCGACAAUUUCGG